This 829-nucleotide long non-coding RNA is filed under the name Sorghum bicolor (sorghum). Its description in RNAcentral is "long non-coding RNA (SBIC_LNC009358)". The record is from RNAcentral. Lineage: Eukaryota; Viridiplantae; Streptophyta; Magnoliopsida; Poales; Poaceae.
CAGAUACCACUGUAAUGGGAGUGGUUCUAUUUUUAUCUUAAAAUGGAAAUGGGAUCUUAUAAUAUUGAUUACAUAUGGCAGGAAUCAAACAGGUGUAAUGGUAAUAAAUAAUGGACUGCGUUACAUUUGAGGCAACCAAACGGCUCGGAGAUGUCACUAUGAUCCUGCAAUAAACAGGCCACGCCUUUCUCUAGUUUAUUUAAUUAUUGAAUAUGUUUUGCAUCAGACAUAGAUGGAUGUAUUACACAGUGCCUACUCUAGGCAGCAACACACAAACGGAAGGAAGGUUGUCUGGCAGUAGGAACCUAAGCCAUAAUGGUGGUGUCUGCAAUAGAUCCAGCACGUCUCAUUGAAGAGACAAUGUUUGUCCGUGUGGCACUGUGGCAACGGCCUCUUCACCGGUGAUAAGUCUGCUAUUGGUGAUAGUAUCCCAGAACGCCUCGCACCUACACGUACAUGCAACGCCACGUAUCACUACCGGAAAUCAAGACUUUGCCAAGUGCUUGGAUACUCGACAAAGAAGCCCUCUACCGAGUGCCAAAUAAAAAACACUCAGCAAAAAAAAACACUCAGCAGAGCAUAAUAGUUGGUUAACUAAUUUAUAUAAUAUAGUAUUAAAAAACCUUAGAGCAGGUACAUAAUAGUUGCAUCUCACCUUGGCAGGGCAUGAUGAUUGAAUUCAUUGUAGCAAGAACUAAGAACAAAGCAGCUGCCAAGGACACGAUCCUCCAUGCGCCCUUGACAGCUGAUGACAUGAUGAGGAAAAGGGUGUAUAUACUAGUACAACCCUUUUCUUUACGGUGAAGAAGAGAGAGCGAACGUAGGUAAG